GGCUUAACACAUGCAAGUCGAGCGGGGAAGUAUAGCUUGCUAUACGACCUAGCGGCGGACGGGUGAGUAAUGCUUAGGGAUCUGCCUAUUAGUGGGGGACAACAUUCCGAAAGGAAUGCUAAUACCGCAUACGCCCUACGGGGGAAAGCAGGGGAUCUUCGGACCUUGCGCUAAUAGAUGAGCCUAAGUCAGAUUAGCUAGUUGGUGGGGUAAAGGCCUACCAAGGCGACGAUCUGUAGCGGGUCUGAGAGGAUGAUCCGCCACACUGGGACUGAGACACGGCCCAGACUCCUACGGGAGGCAGCAGUGGGGAAUAUUGGACAAUGGGCGAAAGCCUGAUCCAGCCAUGCCGCGUGUGUGAAGAAGGCCUUUUGGUUGUAAAGCACUUUAAGCGAGGAGGAGGCUACCGAGAUUAAUACCCUUGGAUAGUGGACGUUACUCGCAGAAUAAGCACCGGCUAACUCUGUGCCAGCAGCCGCGGUAAUACAGAGGGUGCGAGCGUUAAUCGGAUUUACUGGGCGUAAAGCGUGCGUAGGCGGCUUUUUAAGUCGGAUGUGAAAUCCCUGAGCUUAACUUAGGAAUUGCAUUCGAUACUGGGAAGCUAGAGUAUGGGAGAGGAUGGUAGAAUUCCAGGUGUAGCGGUGAAAUGCGUAGAGAUCUGGAGGAAUACCGAUGGCGAAGGCAGCCAUCUGGCCUAAUACUGACGCUGAGGUACGAAAGCAUGGGGAGCAAACAGGAUUAGAUACCCUGGUAGUCCAUGCCGUAAACGAUGUCUACUAGCCGUUGGGGCCUUUGAGGCUUUAGUGGCGCAGCUAACGCGAUAAGUAGACCGCCUGGGGAGUACGGUCGCAAGACUAAAACUCAAAUGAAUUGACGG
This 877-nucleotide ribosomal RNA is filed under the name uncultured Acinetobacter sp. RNAcentral describes it as "bacterial SSU rRNA". It matches the Rfam family "Bacterial small subunit ribosomal RNA", at positions 45 to 916 of the family's 1533-position model. Lineage: Bacteria; Pseudomonadati; Pseudomonadota; Gammaproteobacteria; Moraxellales; Moraxellaceae. The record is from RNAcentral.